CAAGCUACACAGGUGCACGUGAGGAUGCCUUGGCACCAGGAGCCGACGAAAGACGUGGGUUAGCUGCGAUAAGCCUCGGGGAGCCGUAACCAGGCCUUGAUCCGGGGAUGUCUGAGAUUCGGAAACGACGCGGAGCAGCCCUCCGCGAGCCGUAUGUGAAUCCAUAGCAUGCGGUAGGGAACGCAGGGAACUGAACCAUCUCAGUACCUGCAGGAAAGGAAAGAAACAUCGACACCCCCAGUAGCGGUGAGCGAAAAGGGUUCAGCCCAAACCAUGUGCGUGUAAGCCCGAAGGCGUUGCGUAUGUGGGGUUGUGGGAGCCUCAGGCGGAGCUUCGGACCCGCGAUGGAGUUACCAAGUUAUGUCAUAGUCGAACCGACUGGAAAGUCGGGCCAAAGUGGGUGAUAGCCCCGUAGGCGAAAUGGCAUAGCCUCCAGAGGAUUUCCCGAGUAGCGCCAGUCCCGUGGAACCUGGCGUGAAUCGACGGGGCCCACCCCGUAAGGCUAAGUACUACCUGGUGACCGAUAGCGUAUAGUAGCGCGAGCGAAAGGUGAAAAGAACCCCUUCAAGGGGAGUGAAACAGAACCUGAAACCGUGUACCGACAAGCGGUUGGAGCCCUAUUGACAGGGUGACAGCGUGCCUUUUGCAUAAUGACCCGGCGAGUUGGCGUAGGAGGCGAGGUUAAGGGUUUAAGGCCCGAAGCCGAAGCGAAAGCGAGUGCGAAAUGUGCGGAUUUAGUCUUAUGCGCCAGACCCGAAAGCAGAUGAUCUAACCAUGGGCAGGGUGAAGCGGAUGUAAGAGUUCGUGGAGGCCCGAACCGGUUGAUGUUGAAAAAUCUUCGGAUGACCUGUGGUUAGGGGUAAAAGGCCAAUCAAAUCUGCAGAUAGCUGGUUCUUCCCGAAACUACUUUAGGGUAGGCGUUGUGGGUUGAGCCGCGGGGGUAGAGCGACUGUUCUGGUUGGGGGCCCUUACCGGGUACCCCGCCUAGACAAACUCCGAAUACCGCGGUGUAUUCCACGGCAGUUAGACUACGAGGGAUAAGCUUCGUGGUCGAGAGGGAAACAGCCCAGACCGACGGCCAAGGCCCCAAAUCCAUUGCUGAGUGUAUGUAAGGAAGUGAAGUUGCCCAGACAGCUAGGAUGUUGGCUUAGAAGCAGCCAUCAUUUAAAAAGUGCGUAACAGCUUACUAGUCGAGCAACUUUGCGCCGAAAAUGAACGGGACUAAGCAUGGAGCCGCAGCCUCGGGAUGUAUGUGGUGAACGCAUACAUCGGUAGGGAAGCGUUGGACUAACGAUUGAAGGGCGAGGGUAACCACGCCUGGACGAGGUCCAAGUGAUAAUGCCGGGAUGAGUAGCGAUAAACAGGGUGAGAAUCCCUGUCGCCGUAAGCCGAAGGUUUCCUGGGGAAGGCAAUUCCGCCCAGGGUUAGUCGGUCCCUAAGGCGAGGCCGAAAGGCGUAGUCGAUGGGAAGCAGGUCAACAUUCCUGCACCGCCAACAUGCGUUUGCACCGAGGAGUGACGGCGGGUAGAAGGCAACGCCGGUGUAUUAGAUGCCGGUCCCUGCAGAGGGGUGCCUGGUAGGUAAAUCCGCCAGGGGAAUCUCCGAAGCGGGGGGAGCUGUAAGGCAAACGUGCCGGAAGUCCGUCCGAGAAAAACUUCGUUCGGAAGUGUGUUUGGCGACCGUACCUAAACUGACACAGGUAGGCGAGGUGAAUAUCCCAAGGCGCUCGAGAGAACCCUCGUUAAGGAACUCGGCAAAAUGGCCCCGUAAGUUCGCGAGAAGGGGUGCCAGCGUGAGCUGGCCACAGCAAAGCGGUAGGAGCGACUGUUUACUAAAAACACAGGACUCUGCAAAGUCGCAACGACGACGUAUAGAGUCUGACACCUGCCCGCUGUCGGAACGUUAAGGCGACUGGUUAGCGCAAGCGAAGCUAGGAACUGAAGCGCCGAUGAAGGGCGGCCGUAACUAUGACGGUCCUAAGGUAGCGAAAUUCCUUGUCGGGUAAUUUCCGACCCGCACGAAUGGUGUAACGACUCCUACACUGUCUCAACGAGGGACUCGGCGAAAUUGUAGUCGUGGUGAAGAUGCCACGUUCCCGCAUCAAGACGGAAAGACCCCGUGAACCUUCACUGCAGCCUAUUACUGGCUCUCGCCAUGGAAUGUGUAGGAUAGGUGGGAGACGUUAUGCCGUGGUCGCCAGAUCACGGAUAGUCACUGGUGAAAUACCACUCUUUUCAUGGUUGGAUUCUAACCCGGGACCGUUAUCCGGCCCGGGGACAGUGGUAGGUGGGCAGUUUGACUGGGGCGGUCUCCUCCGAAAGCGUAACGGAGGAGUGCAAAGGUACCCUCAGUGCGGUCGGUAAUCGCACGUAGAGCGUAAAGGUAUAAGGGUGCUUAACUGCGAGACAAAUAGGUCGAGCAGGUGCGAAAGCAGGUCUUAGUGAUCCGGUGGUCCCGUGUGGAAGGGCCAUCGCUCAUCAGAUAAAAGGUACUCCGGGGAUAACAGGCUGAUCUCCCCCAAGAGUCCAUAUCGACGG
This 2537-nucleotide ribosomal RNA is filed under the name uncultured Dinobryon. RNAcentral's name for it is "partial Bacterial large subunit ribosomal RNA". It matches the Rfam family "Bacterial large subunit ribosomal RNA", at positions 1 to 2511 of the family's 2925-position model. The record is from RNAcentral. Lineage: Eukaryota; Chrysophyceae; Chromulinales.